AAAAUUUUUAAUACUUACCAUGAUUAUAAUUUUUUUUUCCUUUGCCAUUAUUCAGCCUUCAGUGGAAACUUAUGACAAGAAAGUGAACAAGCAGAGAAUGAAAAAUAUGGGGGUUUUGUUCCUUUUUUUUUCUGCCAGUGCUUGAAACCUACAAGCUGGAGAAAAAAGAUCAGAAGAAUAAUUUUAUCAUCAGAUACUGUAAUUAUACCAUCUGGGCUGCUGAGAGGAUGAAUGUAAAUAUUGGAGUUCCCUUAGACAAGAAAGAAAUGAGGAACCCUGAGAUCCUCAGGGAAUGCUGCAAAUUACAUGUGCUGAUUAUGUGAAGAAAAGGUUCCCAGAAUCUCUUCCUCUAGAACUGCAGCAACUAUUUGAGAAAGGGCCUGGCUGAAGCUGAGGAGUAAAGAAAUAAGA
Molecule: long non-coding RNA, 411 nt
Organism: Passer domesticus (house sparrow)
Lineage: Eukaryota; Metazoa; Chordata; Aves; Passeriformes; Passeridae
Exons: 3
Source: RefSeq, a predicted model, not a curated record